RNAcentral lists this ribosomal RNA (497 nucleotides) under uncultured bacterium. RNAcentral describes it as "partial 16S ribosomal RNA". It matches the Rfam family "Bacterial small subunit ribosomal RNA", at positions 28 to 507 of the family's 1533-position model. The record is from RNAcentral.
GAUGAACGCUGGCGGCGUGCCUAAUACAUGCAAGUCGAGCGAACAGACGAGGAGCUUGCUCCUCUGACGUUAGCGGCGGACGGGUGAGUAACACGUGGAUAACCUACCUAUAAGACUGGGAUAACUUCGGGAAACCGGAGCUAAUACCGGAUAAUAUAUUGAACCACAUGGUUCAAUAGUGAAAGACGGUUUUGCUGUCACUUAUAGAUGGAUCCGCGCCGCAUUAGCUAGUUGGUAAGGUAACGGCUUACCAAGGCAACGAUGCGUAGCCGACCUGAGAGGGUGAUCGGCCACACUGGAACUGAGACACGGUCCAGACUCCUACGGGAGGCAGCAGUAGGGAAUCUUCCGCAAUGGGCGAAAGCCUGACGGAGCAACGCCGCGUGAGUGAUGAAGGUCUUCGGAUCGUAAAACUCUGUUAUUAGGGAAGAACAAAUGUGUAAGUAACUAUGCACGUCUUGACGGUACCUAAUCAGAAAGCCACGGCUAACUACGUG